Molecule: ribosomal RNA, 406 nt
Filed under: uncultured bacterium
Lineage: Bacteria
Description: partial 16S ribosomal RNA
Rfam family: Bacterial small subunit ribosomal RNA
Source: RNAcentral
AUUGAACGCUGGCGGCAGGCCUAACACAUGCAAGUCGAACGAGUGGCGGACGGGUGAGUCAUGUAUGGGAAACUGCCUGAUGGAGGGGGAUAACUACUGGAAACGGUAGCUAAUACCGCAUACCAUCGGAUGUGCCCAGAUGGGCUUGGGUAGUAGGUGGGGUAAAGGCUCACCUAGGCGACGAUCCCUAGCUGGUCUGAGAGGAUGACCAGCCACACUGGAACGGAGAAACGUGCCAGCCUCCUACGGGAGGCAGCAGGGGGGAAUAUUGCACAAUGGACGCAAGCCUGAUGCAGCCAUGCGGCGUGUAUGAAGAAGGUCUUCGGGUUGUAAAGUACUUUCAGCAGGGAGGCGUUACCCGCAGAAGAAGCAACGGCUAACUCCGUGCCAGCAGCCGCGGUAAUAC